Molecule: ribosomal RNA, 446 nt
Filed under: uncultured Anoxybacillus sp.
Lineage: Bacteria; Bacillati; Bacillota; Bacilli; Caryophanales; Anoxybacillaceae
Description: bacterial SSU rRNA
Rfam family: Bacterial small subunit ribosomal RNA
Source: RNAcentral
UGGAGCAUGUGGUUAAUUCGAAGCAACGCGAAGAACCUUACCAGGUCUUGACAUCCCCUGACACCCGAGAGAUCGGCGUUCCCCUUCGGGGGACAGGGUGACAGGUGGUGCAUGGUUGUCGUCAGCUCGUGUCGUGAGAUGUUGGGUUAAGUCCCGCAACGAGCGCAACCCUCGACCUUAGUUGCCAGCAUUCAGUUGGGCACUCUAAGGUGACUGCCGGCUAAAGUCGGAGGAAGGUGGGGAUGACGUCAAAUCAUCAUGCCCCUUAUGACCUGGGCUACACACGUGCUACAAUGGGCGGUACAAAGGGUCGCGAACCCGCGAGGGGGAGCCAAUCCCAAAAAGCCGCUCUCAGUUCGGAUUGCAGGCUGCAACUCGCCUGCAUGAAGCCGGAAUCGCUAGUAAUCGCGGAUCAGCAUGCCGCGGUGAAUACGUUCCCGGGCCUU